RNAcentral lists this ribosomal RNA (753 nucleotides) under uncultured fungus. Its description in RNAcentral is "eukaryotic LSU rRNA". The stretch from base 182 to 336 matches the Rfam family "5.8S ribosomal RNA". Lineage: Eukaryota; Fungi. The record is from RNAcentral.
UGUUGCUGGUCCUCAAAUGGGGACACGUGCACGCUCUGUUUACACAUCCACUCACACCUGUGCACCCUCUGUAGUUCUACGGUCUGGGGGACCUUGUCUUCCUUCCGUGGUUCUAUGUCUUUACACACACACUGUAAUAAAGUCUUAUGGAAUGUAUGCCGCGUCUAACGCAAUACAAUACAACUUUCAGCAACGGAUCUCUUGGCUCUCGCAUCGAUGAAGAACGCAGCGAAAUGCGAUAAGUAAUGUGAAUUGCAGAAUUCAGUGAAUCAUCGAAUCUUUGAACGCACCUUGCGCCCCUUGGCUAUUCCGAGGGGCAUGCCUGUUUGAGUAUCAUGAACACCUCAACCUCUCAUGGUUUGCCAUGAUGAGCUUGGACCUUGGGGGUUUUGCCGGCCUGUGGUCGGCUCCUCUCAAAUGAAUCAGCCUCCCAGUGUUUGGUGGCGUCACGAGUGUGAUAACUAUCUACGCUCGCAGUCGUCCACCAGGUAACCUUUGGUGACAAAGGUUCGCUGGAGCUCAUAGAUGUCUCUCCUCAGCGAGGACAGCUUUUGAACGUUCGAUCUCAAAUCAGGUAGGACUACCCGCUGAACUUAAGCAUAUCAAUAAGCGGAGGAAAAGAAACUAACAAGGAUUCCCCUAGUAACUGCGAGUGAAGCGGGAAGAGCUCAAAUUUAAAAUCUGGCGUGCCUCUGGUCGUCCGAGUUGUAGUCUAGARAAGUGUUUUCCGUGCUGGACCGUGUACAAGUCUCC